UAGGGAAUCUUCCACAAUGGACGCAAGUCUGAUGGAGCAACGCCGCGUGAGUGAAGAAGGUUUUCGGACCGUAAAGCUCUGUUGUUGGUGAAGAAGGAUAGAGGUAGUAACUGGCCUUUAUUUGACGGUAAUCAACCAGAAAGUCACGGCUAACUACGUGCCAGCAGCCGCGGUAAUACGUAGGUGGCAAGCGUUGUCCGGAUUUAUUGGGCGUAAAGCGAGCGCAGGCGGAAGAAUAAGUCUGAUGUGAAAGCCCUCGGCUUAACCGAGGAAUUGCAUCGGAAACUGUUUUCUUGAGUGCAGAAGAGGAGAGUAGAACUCCAUGUGUAGCGGUGGAAUGCGUAGAUAUAUGGAAGAAUACCAGUGGCGAAGGCGGCUCUCUGGUCUGCAACUGACGCUGAGGCUCGAAAGCAUGGGUAGCGAACAGGAUUAGAUACCCUGGUAGUCCAUGCCGUAAACGAUGAGUGCUAAGUGUUGGGAGGCUUCCGCCUCUCAGUGCUGCAGCUAACGCAUUAAGCACUCCGCCUGGGGGAGUACGACC
This 541-nucleotide ribosomal RNA is filed under the name uncultured bacterium. RNAcentral's name for it is "partial 16S ribosomal RNA". It matches the Rfam family "Bacterial small subunit ribosomal RNA", at positions 355 to 887 of the family's 1533-position model. The record is from RNAcentral.